GAUAAACGCUGGCGGCGCACAUAAGACAUGCAAGUCGAACGGACUUAACUCAUUCUUUUAGAUUGAGAGCGGUUAGUGGCGGACUGGUGAGUAACACGUAAGCAACCUGCCUCACACUGGGGGAUAGCAGCUGGAAACGGCUGGUAAUACCGCAUAAGACCACAGCACCGCAUGGUGCAGGGGUAAAAGAUUUAUCGGUGUGAGAUGGAUCCGCGUCUGAUUAGCCAGUUGGCGGGGUAACGGCCCACCAAAGCGACGAUCAGUAGCCGGCCUGAGAGGGUGAACGGCCACAUUGGGACUGAGACACGGCCCAA
RNAcentral lists this ribosomal RNA (314 nucleotides) under uncultured bacterium. Its description in RNAcentral is "bacterial SSU rRNA". It matches the Rfam family "Bacterial small subunit ribosomal RNA", at positions 28 to 334 of the family's 1533-position model. The record is from RNAcentral.